UACGAAGGGGGCUAGCGUUGCUCGGAAUCACUGGGCGUAAAGGGUGCGUAGGCGGGUCUUUAAGUCAGGGGUGAAAUCCUGGAGCUCAACUCCAGAACUGCCUUUGAUACUGAGGAUCUUGAGUUCGGGAGAGGUGAGUGGAACUGCGAGUGUAGAGGUGAAAUUCGUAGAUAUUCGCAAGAACACCAGUGGCGAAGGCGAGUCUCUGGACAUUUCCUGACGCUGAGGCACGAAAGCCAGGGGAGCAAACGGG
This 253-nucleotide ribosomal RNA is filed under the name uncultured bacterium. Its description in RNAcentral is "partial 16S ribosomal RNA". It matches the Rfam family "Bacterial small subunit ribosomal RNA", at positions 524 to 776 of the family's 1533-position model. The record is from RNAcentral.